AUUGAUACCUGGCAGGGGAGAUACCAUGAUCACAAAGGUGGUUUUCCCAGAGCAAGUUUCAUCCAUUGCACUCCGGAUGUGCUGCCCCGUGAUUUCCCCAAGUGUGGGAAACUUGACUGCAUAAUUUGUGUGUGUGGGGGAGGAAGUAGGUGGUACUAGGUUUGUGCUCUCCCA
RNAcentral lists this small nuclear RNA (174 nucleotides) under Castor canadensis (American beaver). Its description in RNAcentral is "U1 spliceosomal RNA (ENSCCNG00000023486.1)". It matches the Rfam family "U1 spliceosomal RNA". Rfam says of the family: U1 is a small nuclear RNA (snRNA) component of the spliceosome (involved in pre-mRNA splicing). Its 5' end forms complementary base pairs with the 5' splice junction, thus defining the 5' donor site of an intron. Lineage: Eukaryota; Metazoa; Chordata; Mammalia; Rodentia; Castoridae. The record is from Rfam by way of RNAcentral.